UGCUACUUACAUCUCUAGCAA
RNAcentral lists this non-coding RNA (21 nucleotides) under Rattus norvegicus (Norway rat). Lineage: Eukaryota; Metazoa; Chordata; Mammalia; Rodentia; Muridae. The record is from RNAcentral.